RNAcentral lists this ribosomal RNA (506 nucleotides) under uncultured Pediococcus sp. RNAcentral describes it as "partial 16S ribosomal RNA". The record is from RNAcentral. Lineage: Bacteria; Bacillati; Bacillota; Bacilli; Lactobacillales; Lactobacillaceae.
CACGUAGUUAGCCGUGGCUUUCUGGUUAAAUACCGUCACUGGGUGAACAGUUACUCUCACCCACGUUCUUCUUUAACAACAGAGCUUUACGAGCCGAAACCCUUCUUCACUCACGCGGCGUUGCUCCAUCAGACUUGCGUCCAUUGUGGAAGAUUCCCUACUGCUGCCUCCCGUAGGAGUCUGGGCUGUGUCUCAGUCCCAAUGUGGCCGAUUACCCUCUCAGGUCGGCUACGCAUCAUCGCCUUGGUGAGCCGUUACCUCACCAACUAGCUAAUGCGCCGCGGGUCCAUCCAGAAGUGAUAGCAGAGCCAUCUUUUAAAAAGAAACCAGGCGGUUUCUCUGUUAUACGGUAUUAGCAUCUGUUCCAGGUGUUAUCCCUGCUUCUGGGCAGGGUUACCCACGUGUUACUCACCCGUCCGCCACUCACUUCGUGUUAAAAUCUCAUUCAGUGCAAGCACGUCAUAAUCAAUUAACGAGUUCGUUCGACUUGCAUGUAUUAGGCACCG